Molecule: long non-coding RNA, 405 nt
Filed under: Volvox carteri
Lineage: Eukaryota; Viridiplantae; Chlorophyta; Chlorophyceae; Chlamydomonadales; Volvocaceae
Description: long non-coding RNA (VCAR_LNC001220)
Source: RNAcentral
UGAGGGUGUGUGUAGUUGUUACGGUAAGAAUCGUGCGUGCUACAGAAUGAUGCAAACAGCACACAAACUCUCGCACCGUGCAAGCACUUGUAAACAAACUUCAUCACAAAUUGCUGCAAGCCCUACAUUCCUGGAAACAUGCACGCAGCAGACCAUGCACGAUACUCAACGUGCACGAAACACGCACCAGCGAGCUCCUGCAAGCAUAGAUUGUGCAGCACACCAAAGUAGAGCUUUCCACCAGUGGACCGGAGGGCACGGGAAAUGAUACCUUCCCCAACUUAAAGGGUAGUUGUUGCCAGCUCUUAUCACAACAGAAAACAAACAUACGGCCUAUUUGUCACCUUGCGUACGUCGCCAACCGUCCGUUACCGUUUUUAGUUACAGCUUUUUCCCAACCCUCGC